CGCGUAGGCGGACAGUUUAGUCAGAGGUGAAAGCCCAGGGCUCAACCUCGGAAUUGCCUUUGAUACUGGCUGUCUUGAGUUCGGGAGAGGUGAGUGGAAUGCCGAGUGUAGAGGUGAAAUUCGUAGAUAUUCGGCGGAACACCAGUGGCGAAGGCGACUCACUGGCCCGAUACUGACGCUGAGGCGCGAAAGCGUGGGGAGCAAACA
Molecule: ribosomal RNA, 207 nt
Filed under: uncultured bacterium
Lineage: Bacteria
Description: partial 16S ribosomal RNA
Rfam family: Bacterial small subunit ribosomal RNA
Source: RNAcentral